GAUGAACGCUGGCGGCGUGCCUAAUACAUGCAAGUCGAGCGAACAGACGAGGAGCUUGCUCCUCUGACGUUAGCGGCGGACGGGUGAGUAACACGUGGAUAACCUACCUAUAAGACUGGGAUAACUUCGGGAAACCGGAGCUAAUACCGGAUAAUAUAUUGAACCGCAUGGUUCAAUUGUGAAAGACGGUUUUGCUGUCACUUAUAGAUGGAUCCGCGCCGCAUUAGCUAGUUGGUAAGGUAACGGCUUACCAAGGCAACGAUGCGUAGCCGACCUGAGAGGGUGAUCGGCCACACUGCAACUGAGACACGGUCCAGACUCCUACGGGAGGCAGCAAUAGGGAAUCUUCCGCAAUGGGCGAAAGCCUGACGGAGCAACGCCGCGUGAGUGAUGAAGGUCUUCGGAUCGUAAAACUCUGUUAUUAGGGAAGAACAAAUGUGUAAGUAACUAUGCACGUCUUGACGGUACCUAAUCAGAAAGCCACGGCUAACUACGUG
This 497-nucleotide ribosomal RNA is filed under the name uncultured bacterium. Its description in RNAcentral is "partial 16S ribosomal RNA". It matches the Rfam family "Bacterial small subunit ribosomal RNA", at positions 28 to 507 of the family's 1533-position model. The record is from RNAcentral.